RNAcentral lists this long non-coding RNA (774 nucleotides) under Phasianus colchicus (ring-necked pheasant). RNAcentral's name for it is "lncRNA (ENSPCLG00000013744.1)". The record is from RNAcentral. Lineage: Eukaryota; Metazoa; Chordata; Aves; Galliformes; Phasianidae.
AUGUGGGGCUUUGCACACGCAUGCGGCUCUGCACGUGUGAGGUUUUGCACACGCGGUGCCUUGCACACGUGUGUGUGCUGGGUCAGGGAGGGGCGCUGGGGGUUCUGUGAGCAGCUCUUGUGCAAGGGAUGGGCGUGGUGCCCCUCCCAGUCCCUCCCAGUUCCUUCCCAGUCCAUCCCAGUUUCCUCCCAGUCCCUCCCAGUUCCUCCCAGUUCCCUCCCAAUCCAUCCCAGUUCCCUCCCAUUUCAUCCCAGUCCCUCCCAGUCCAUCCCAGUUCCAGUUCCCUCCCAGUUCCCUUCCAGUCCCUCCCUGUCCAUCCCAGUCCCCUCCCAUUUCAUCCCAGUCCCUCCCAGUUGCCUCCCAGUCCACCCCAGCUCCCUCCCAGUCCCUCCCAGUUCUCUUCCAGUCCAUCCCCGUCCCUCCCAGUUCCUCCCAGUGCAAUCCCAGUCCCAUCCCAGUGCCAUCCCAGUCCCUCCCAGUUCCCUCCCAAUCCAUCCCAGUUCCCUCCCAGUCCUUCCCAGUUGCCUCCCAGUUCCUUCCAGUCCCUCCCAGUUCUCUCCCAGUUCUUCCCAGUCCCUCCCAGUCCACCCCAGUUCCCUCCCAUUUCAUCCCAAUUCCUCCCAGUCCCUCCCAGUUCUCUCCAGUCCCUCCCAGUGCCAUCCCAGUCCCUCCCAGUUGCCUCCCAGUCCACCCCAGCUCCCUCCCAGUUCUCUUCCAGUCCCUCCCAGUUCUUCCCAGUCUAUCGCUGUCCCUCCCAGUCCCUCCCAGUCCCUC